RNAcentral lists this transfer RNA (85 nucleotides) under Felis catus (domestic cat). It matches the Rfam family "tRNA". From Rfam's summary of the family: Transfer RNA (tRNA) molecules are approximately 80 nucleotides in length. RNAcentral also lists the same sequence under 1 other name. Lineage: Eukaryota; Metazoa; Chordata; Mammalia; Carnivora; Felidae. The record is from Rfam by way of RNAcentral.
GCCUGGAUGGCUUAGAUGGUUGAGCGCCUGACUUUGACUCAGGUCAUGAUCUCGCAGUUCACGAGUUUGAGCCCCGCAUCAGGCU